Molecule: long non-coding RNA, 423 nt
Organism: Anoplophora glabripennis (Asian longhorned beetle)
Lineage: Eukaryota; Metazoa; Arthropoda; Insecta; Coleoptera; Cerambycidae
Exons: 2
Source: RefSeq, a predicted model, not a curated record
UCUUUGUUUUAUAAGUGCGUGACUCAAUGACGUUUUUAUUAAUUUGAAAAGUGGAAAAUGAAAUUUAAAGCUAGUUAAAAUAGUUAAGUGACGUGCAUCAACCACCUGCUGGCAGAACUGGAAUUUCACAAGCACAUUGCACAAAAAAUUGCCCAGAAAAAGAUAAUGGGGAGGGCAUUAAAACAUGUCGCGGCAUGCAAAUGAGAGACUAUAAAAAGAGACCAGAUCAACAGCACAUAAGGAAUAGUUAUACAUAUAAUACAAAUAAUAACUUAGUUGUGUAUAUAACUUUGUUUAUAUUCUGUAAUAAAAAAGUUGGUUAUAUGUAUCAUAGAAAGAGUUGAUUAUAUAUAUAAGUACAUGUGAAAUUUGCUUUUUAAGUUUAUAUUUAUAAUGUGCAAUGAAUAAAAAAAUUCAGUUCAA